Molecule: ribosomal RNA, 497 nt
Filed under: uncultured bacterium
Lineage: Bacteria
Description: partial 16S ribosomal RNA
Rfam family: Bacterial small subunit ribosomal RNA
Source: RNAcentral
GACGAACGCUGGCGGCGUGCCUAAUACAUGCAAGUUGAGCGCUGAAGGUUGGUACUUGUACCAACUGGAUGAGCAGCGCACGGGUGAGUAACGCGUGGGGAAUCUGCCUUUGAGCGGGGGACAACAUUUGGAAACGAAUGCUAAUACCGCAUAAAAACUUUAAACACAAGUUUUAAGUUUGAAAGAUGCAAUUGCAUCACUCAAAGAUGAUCCCGCGUUGUAUUAGCUAGUUGGUGAGGUAAAGGCGCACCAAGGCGAUGAUACAUAGCCGACCUGAGAGGGUGAUCGGCCAGAUUGGGACUGGGACACGGCCCAGACUCCUACGGGAGGCAGCAGUAGGGAAUCUUCGGCAAUGGACGAAAGUCUGACCGAGCAACGCCGCGUGAGUGAAGAAGGUUUUCGGAUCGUAAAACCCUGUUGGUAGAGAAGAACGUUGGUGAGAGUGGAAAGCUCAUCAAGUGACGGUAACUACCCAGAAAGGGACGGCUAACUACGUG